Molecule: ribosomal RNA, 253 nt
Filed under: uncultured bacterium
Lineage: Bacteria
Description: partial 16S ribosomal RNA
Rfam family: Bacterial small subunit ribosomal RNA
Source: RNAcentral
UACGAGCGGCCCAAACGUUAUUCGGAAUUACUGGGCUUAAAGAGUUCGUAGGCGGCAUGAAAAGCAGGGUGUGAAAGCCCUUGGCUCAACCGAGGAAUUGCGCUCUGAACUGUCGUGCUUGAGGAACCUAGAGGUGAGCAGAACAGAUGGUGGAGCGGUGAAAUGCGUUGAUAUCAUCUGGAAUACCGGAGGCGAAGGCGGCUCACUGGGGGUUUUCUGACGCUGAGGAACGAAAGCCAGGGUAGCGAACGGG